GACGAACGCUGGCGGCGUGCUUAACACAUGCAAGUCGAACGGAAAGGCCCUGCUUUUGUGGGGUGCUCGAUUGGCGAACGGGUGAGUAACACGUGAGUAACCUGCCCCUGACUUUGGGAUAACUUCUGGAAACUGGGGCUAAUACCGGAUAGGAGCUCCUGCUGCAUGGUGGGGGUUGGAAAGUUUCGGCGGUUGGGGAUGGACUCGCGGCUUAUCAGCUUGUUGGUGGGGUAGUGGCUUACCAAGGCUUUGACGGGUAGCCGGCCUGAGAGGGUGAACGGCCACAUUGGGACUGAGAUACGGACCAGACUCCUACGGGAGGCAGCAGUGGGGAAUAUUGCACAAUGGGCGGAAGCCUGAUGCAGCAACGCCGCGUGCGGGAUGACGGCCUUCGGGUUGUAAACCGCUUUCGCAUGUGACGAAGCGUGAGUGACGGUAAUGGGUAAAGAAGCACCGGCUAACUACGUG
This 468-nucleotide ribosomal RNA is filed under the name uncultured bacterium. RNAcentral describes it as "partial 16S ribosomal RNA". It matches the Rfam family "Bacterial small subunit ribosomal RNA", at positions 28 to 507 of the family's 1533-position model. The record is from RNAcentral.